Molecule: long non-coding RNA, 2768 nt
Organism: Monopterus albus (swamp eel)
Lineage: Eukaryota; Metazoa; Chordata; Actinopteri; Synbranchiformes; Synbranchidae
Exons: 5
Source: RefSeq, a predicted model, not a curated record
AAACAUUGUAUCGCGAUACUUCAGCUUUGAAAUGUCGGCGCGGUGUGUGGUCAUAACAGACGGUUCGCCAGCUAAGGAACGCUCCAGAUAGAGAAUCUUGGUGGGACCAGUGAAUGGCAUGUGGAGUGGUUAUUGAGGGGACAUAUAAAACAGCUCUCCCCCUGAUGUGGAGCCCCGUGACCUGCUCAGAGAGUUCCCCUCCUGCCCUGCAACAGACGUCUUAUCAAUCGUGACUGAUUGCUGUAAUCUGGACUCUAGGCAGCCAUUAAGCAAAUUACCUGAAUCAUUUUGUUGGAACAGCUUGAUCAGCCACAGCAGAGUGACAGUGGGGUCUGGCCUUGCCUUUGGUGGCAGAGGCUGACCCUGGUGCAGGGAUGGACUUGGGGUCCAAGCGUCGACCGGCCCAGCCCUGUGUAUUCCUGGCUUUAAACCAGGUUUUCUUCUGCUAAAUGACUGUGUGUGCGGAGAAAGAUGAUCUUUGAGGUUUAUGGGCCCACUGACAGAAGACAGCUGUCUGCCCGUCCUCCAGCUCAGCUCUGAGGUGUCCUGGGACUCUGCCUGCUUGCGGGUCAGGACCCCAGAGGGGAGGCACCAUUUGGUACCAGUUACCGAGGAGCAGGGGCCACUGGUGCCUUCCUCCUUCCUUUCAGUCAAGGUAAUGCUGGCCAGGCGAGCAGCCCCUGGCUGACCGGCAGGCACGGGCAGCACUACCCAUCAUGCCACAGUGGUGAAGGGCCCGGUGACCUUGACACAGGCCAGGCUCAUCCCCCUCGCUGUGCUGCAGACUGCUUGGGAGAAGAUGGAUGGAGGCACAUUUUGUAUGGCCGCUGACUGAAUGCAGCGUGUGCUAGGUGAAUGGAACUCACUGUGAUUAUAACCUUCACUUAUUGUGGAAACGUUGACUGAGCACACUGUGAAAUUAUUACUGUGCAGGCAGCACCGUUUUCUCAGCAACAGUUCCCACAGUUGGGUUGCAUUUACACCAGGCGUGUUUAAAGAGAACUGUUGGAGCAUUUCCUCUUUAUGUUCGAGCUUCUAAACACAGGUGACUGGAGCAGUGACUGUUGGGGUUAAGUAGUCCAUGGUAGGCAUGAGAAUAAUAUACAGUGGGUUCAAAAGGUUCUGGAUAAAUGGAGAUGCAUGUCGACUAUUUAUUAGUCGUGGUUACUAAACGCCAUCCCUGGUAGGCCUUUCUUUCUUUCUUUCUUAGUUGUGGUUACUCAGUAGUUUUCCCAUGUACUACUAGAGAACUUCAUAUCAUGAAGUUUGGUGUGUUCAGGCUUAAUUGUCAAAUUGUUUCAAGAUUUAUUUGAAUUAGGAGUAGUUUAUUGUAGGCUUAAGCUUAAUUUUGACUUGUCAACAUGUAGCUAUGUAGCCAAAUGACAUUACUUGGCUAGACUGCCCGCCUGUUCUCAAGCUAAAUGGCUACUUUCUCACCUGGAAAAAUAUGAACACUUAAAAACAUGGCAUAAUACCAGUCCAAGGAUCCAAGGAUGACAAUUAUAACAGCUUUGAGCCUGGAUCAAAAUUUCUACCAUUUCUGUUUCCCAACUUCUUCUUUUCUGCUACUUUGCUUUUUGACUGGCCCCUAGUUAGAACGCUAAUGUUUGCAAAAGCAUAACUGCAACAGCUAUGCAACUGUCUCCAAAUAACAGAAGCAUGUUCCCAUACGGUUCCGAAUCUGUAAAAGUCAUCCUGAUGAGUCAGCUUCAAAGUCACCUCUACUGUAUAUGCACGUGCAUUGUCUGUAUGUAUUGUACCUGCUGUUUCUGUGCUAAUCUUUGUCAUAGUCAUUGUCAUCAAACAACAAACAAAACUUACCAAUCCAAACAAUUUAUGACUGUUAAGCAUGACAGCAUAUAUUAUGACAAACAACACAUGCUCCAUUAUGCCAGCUGGUGUAAUGAUGUGGUAAUGCUGGACUCAUUAACUUCUGCACACAGUUUAUAGUGGCCUUUCAUGACAGAAUUAAUUGAUUCACACAUGCAUUAAAACAAAAAUAACUGGAAUGAAAAUGCAGUUGGAUGCCGGCCUCCAAUCAGUCACGAGCACUUCUGGUGGUAAAGCGGGCUGAAAUCAUUCAUGUAAAUGACUGGUCAUAUAUGCAGUAAACAACCCCAAAUAAGUCAUUUUUUUCACAGCUAUCUUUGCAUUUCUCACCCAGCACAUAUCACAGUGAAAAAUAUUUUUUAACAGCUAUUAAUUACUGUACACAUGUUUUAAAAAACAUUUUUCUCAAGUUGAUUGAAUCCUGUAAAUGUAUUUGUCUUCUCAAUGAAUAUUAUUCAGCGGUGACAUCUUCUCCUGCAGUUGAGCUCUCUGUUUGUUGUUUAACCCUGAAUACUGAUUAAAUCUUUAUUCAUUAUUUGUUCAAACGAGCCGUUAAAUGGGGAGAUUAAUUUGUAAAUUGUAAUCACACACCUUCUAGACAGUUGGAUUAAACUGCACAGAUUGUGUUCAGUGCUGCAGAACUUACAGUCUGAGUAACUUCCCAACAGUUUUACACAAAUGCUGCUUUACUUUUACACUUUGUUUGUUCACUAACUGGCCAUAAGGCUAUUAACAGAUAUCUGAAAGCCACAUUUGUAGAUUGAUAGGACAAAUUUAUUAUAAUUCUGUAUCUUUAGGCAUUUUCUUCUACGGAUUUUCCAUUCAACAUUUCUUCAGAGGUCAUUGGGUUGUCAGUUCAUCCAACCGUCUCACGAAUGCGAUAUCUCAGGAACCCCAUGAGAGAAGUUCUUAAAAUUUGGCACAAAUGUUCAUUUGAA